GAUGAACGCUGGCGGCGUGCCUAAUACAUGCAAGUCGAGCGAACGGACGAGAAUCUUGCUUCUCUGAUGUUAGCGGCGGACGGGUGAGUAACACGUGGAUAACCUACCUAUAAGACUGAUAUAACUUCGGGAAACCGGAGCUAAUCCCGGAUAAUCUUUUGAACCGCAUGGUUCAAAAGUGAAAGACGGUCUUGCUGUCACUUAUAGAUGGAUCCGCGCUGCAUUAGCUAGUUGGUAAAGUAACGGCUUACCAAGGCAACGAUGCAUAGCCGACCUGAGAGGGGGAUAGGCCACACUGGAACUGAGACACGGUCCAGACUCCUACGGGACGCAGCAGUAGGGAAUCUGCCGCAAUGGGCGAAAGCCUGACGGAGCAACGCCGAGUGAGUGAUGAAGGUCUUCGGAUCGUAAAACUCUGUUAUUAGGGAAGAACAUAUGUGUAAGUAACUGUGCACAGAUUGACGGUACCUAAUCAGAAAGCCACGGCUAACUACGUG
RNAcentral lists this ribosomal RNA (497 nucleotides) under uncultured bacterium. RNAcentral's name for it is "partial 16S ribosomal RNA". It matches the Rfam family "Bacterial small subunit ribosomal RNA", at positions 28 to 507 of the family's 1533-position model. The record is from RNAcentral.